RNAcentral lists this ribosomal RNA (263 nucleotides) under uncultured archaeon. Its description in RNAcentral is "partial 16S ribosomal RNA". It matches the Rfam family "Archaeal small subunit ribosomal RNA", at positions 718 to 982 of the family's 1478-position model. The record is from RNAcentral.
AGUCACUGACAUUAGAUACCCCUGUAGUCCCAGCCGUAAACAAUGUGCGUUAGGUGUGUCGGUAACCACGCGUUACUGAUGCGCCGAAGAGAAAUCGUGAAACGCACCACCUGGAAGUACGGUCGCAAGGCUGAAACUUAAAGGAAUUGGCGGGGAGCACCACAACAGGUGGAGCCUGCGGUUUAAUUGGAUUCAACGCCGGACAUCUCACCGGAUAAGACAGCUGAAUGAUUGUCAAUCUGAAGGUUUUACAUGACUAGCUG